Molecule: long non-coding RNA, 2653 nt
Filed under: Sus scrofa (pig)
Lineage: Eukaryota; Metazoa; Chordata; Mammalia; Artiodactyla; Suidae
Description: lncRNA (ENSSSCG00015062470.1)
Source: RNAcentral
UUUUCAGCUACGAGGUCUGCCUUGUGGGCCAGAAAGCCUGUUCACCCAACUCUAACCACUGGGACUGUUAGCGGAAGUGGAUCCAGGCAGCGGUUUUCAGACAGGAAGAGGCCUUGAGAAAAAUGGACUAAUUUGGGAGAAGCAAAGGCCCCCAUUUCCUGGCCAGAGGUGUCACCUGACCUUGGGCUGUCAUCAAGCCGUCACCCGCAGCAGGAGCAGAGCAGACAGUUCCAUAUUCAGAGCACUGCCGGGUUGUCAUGCCUUUGGGGAUACCCCGAGGCCUGGAACACUUGUCCGUCUGGACCCGUCCAGCCUUCAAACAAGCCUUCAAACAGCCCCUCCUCUGGGGACCUUCUCAAGCUUUGUCUUCCCUUCCUGAGCCCAGGAGGAAUUCACUUGCUCCCUCCUCACUCCAGAGCCCAGGCCAUACUUCUCAGCAGCACCCAUCCCAGGCCAUUGCCUUCGUUGUGGACAUAGCUUUGGCGCCACUGGUCUCUGAGCCGUCCAGGCUCAGGGCCCACCUCUGCCUGUUUAAUUUCAGUACCCAGCCUGACGCAGGGGAGGAUGUGGGAAUGAAGGAAUGAUUUCUCAGGAAGAUACGCCCUUUUCCUGGGAAAACAGCCUAAAUGCCAUGUCUUCUCCAUAAGGAUCAUCUUUGUUCAUGAAGGAUCAUAAAAAGUCUAAUUAAAAAAUUAAAACUUUAAAAAACAUAUGCUUAUUAUUAUUAUUUUGUCUUUUUAAGGCCGCACCCGAGGCACAUGGAGGUUCCCAGGCUAGGGGUCUAAGCAGAGCUCUAGCUGCCGGCCUACCCCACAGCCACAGCAACGCCUGAUCUGAGCUGUGUCUGCGACCUACACCGCAGAUCACGGCAACACCAGAUCCUUAACCCACUGAGCAAGGCCAGGAAUCAAACCCGCAACCUCAUGGUUCCUAGUCGGAUUCAUUUCCACUGCACCACGAUAGGAACUCCCUAAAAAAAAUUUUUUUUUAAAUCGAAGUAUAGUUGAUUUAUAAUGUUGUGUUAGUCCUGCUGUAGAGCCAAUGAUUUAGUUAUAUAUAUAACUAUAUAUCUCUCUCAGAUAUAUAUGUUUAUUUAUACAUAUGAAACUUUCAGAUAAUUUUCCAUUAUAGUUUAUUUUAAGAUAUUGACUCUAGUUCCCUGUGCUACACAGUCGGACCUUGCUGUUUAUCUAUUUUAAAUAGUCUGUAUCUGCUAAUCUCAAACUGCUAAUUCUCCUCCCCGCUCCCCCACUUUCCCAUUUGGUAGCCAUCAGUUUGUUUUCUAAGUCUGUGGGUCUGUUUCUGUUUUGUAAAUAAAUUCAUUUGUAUCCCUCUUUUAGAUUCCACAUAUAAGUGAUAUGACAUGAUAUUUGUCUUUCUUGGCCGGACCUGCUUCACUUAGUGUCAUAAUCUCUAGGUUUAUCCGUGUUACUGCAAAUGGUAUUAUGUCAUUCUGUUUUACGGCUGAGUAAUAUUCUAUUUUGUGUGUGUGUAUACAUGUGUAUACACGGUGGUAGAUACCACAUCUUAUCCAUUCAUCUUUUGAUGGACACUUAGGUUGCCUCCAAAUCUUGGCCUUUGUAAAUAGUGCUGCAAUCAACAUUGAGGCAAAUAUGUCCUUUUGAAUUAGAGUUUUCUCCAGUUUGCUGAGGAGCGGGACUGCUGGAAAAGUAUAAUUUCUAAAUAGGUUACCAGCUUCUUGAAGGUGGAGUUUUCAUCAGUGCAUGAAUCCACAGCAUCUGCCAUUGUAUGUCCAUUGGUAUAAAUUUCAAAUGCAUCAGUUGGUCUUGUCUGUGUCCAUUACAUCAAUGUUGAACCAUUUACAGAGUUAUUUCCUCAAACUGAGCAAGUCAAACGAGCAACAGUGAGCACGUACCUACCCCGUGUCCGAGCUGACACUAGGUUGUAUAGAAAUGCAGAGAUAAGAGGUCCCCGCCUGCCAGGAGCCAAGUCGAAGAGCUGCAGCUGUGUGGUCAAGUGCUAAGUAUGUCUGAAGGUCUGGCGUGUGUGCUGGUGGUGAGCCGUCGUAUGGGCCUAUGGAGCCAAAGGCAUAGCAUGUUCCCUGGAGAAGCUGAUGGCUGGAUGAGCUCCAGAUACCCCUGGAUGAGAGGCAAGGUGUGCACAGGCCUCCCCGAAUGCAGCCCCUGCAGCGUAGUGUGCGGAGCCCUUGGGGCCCCCAGGUCUGUGAGAGCAAAGAGAGUCACACAGUGUAGGAAAGAGGAGGCCAGUAGGAAGGAGGACCUAGCCUGUUCCUAACACGUGGGGUCUGACGGACUUAAAUGCCACUUUGUUUUUGGUGCUGAGCCGGAGGUUUCCUCUGGGGCCUCAGAUGGUUGUGAACUAUCAGGGGUCACUUUGAGCAGAGCUGCCUCUGCACCCAGGCCCGGGGAGCAUCCUUUCAGCGCUCUUUGGAUGAGGAAUGCCCACGCCUGGGCUGGACCUCCUGGGGUGACCUUGGACUCUCCUUGUGGCAUAUUCUUGCCUCAGGACUAGAAGGAAGGAAGGGUGGGUGCUGUCUCCCAGGAUGGCUGGUGCUGAGCCUGGCGAAGAAUCACCCUCCCUUCAGCUCACAGACAACCUUACCCAGGAGCUUAGUGCUUUAGUUUACAGCACAUGAGCUUGUAAUGUGGUGGCCAAGGAGCAGGUGGCACGG